RNAcentral lists this ribosomal RNA (263 nucleotides) under uncultured bacterium. RNAcentral's name for it is "partial 16S ribosomal RNA". It matches the Rfam family "Bacterial small subunit ribosomal RNA", at positions 8 to 273 of the family's 1533-position model. The record is from RNAcentral.
AGAGUUUGAUCAUGGCUCAGAUUGAACGCUGGCGGAAUGCUUUACACAUGCAAGUCGAGCGGCAGCGCGGGGGCAACCCUGGCGGCGAGCGGCGAACGGGUGAGUAACAUAUCGGAACGUAUCCUGUAGUGGGGGAUAACGCAGCGAAAGCUGUGCUAAUACCGCAUACGAUCUACGGAUGAAAGUGGGGGACCGCAAGGCCUCACGUUAUAGGGGCGGCCGAUAUUCGAUUAGCUUGUUGGUGAGGUAAAGGCUCACCAAGG